AGCGAAGGGGUGGGGUGGGAUCUUGGUCCAGCUGGUACUGGAGCGGCGACAAUUUUGGCUAGUCUAAGAAGGGCAUUCGAGUGACCGUUGACAACGGGUGGGACAGCGUCAGAGCUGGAGGGAGAGCCAGCACUGUAUGCUUCCAGGACUUCUUGCUAGGUGCAUUAGUUUUUAUUUUUAAGAGUUGGGUAAAAGACAUUAAUUAGUUAGCAUCUCACUCAUCGGCGAUUUUCUACGGUAUGAUUUCAUCCAAAGAGGAUUUCUUAAUCGCACUGUGUGACACCGUUAGGGGACUUAGAGUGUCACUCGCCGCCUUAAAUCCUUUCGGGAACAAGCCAGGAUAUAAAUAAAUAAAGCUAGGUGUGGGUCUUCCCUUCACAAGGCGCUGGUAGGCAGACUAAAGACAGGCAACAGCUGAGUGUGCACACAGAACUAAAUAUUGAACGAAAUACGAGUGUCGGAAUAAAAUUCAUUGCCAUGUGCACGGCUUAUGAUUAUACAGAUCUUGGACAUAUCACGGACCUGAACGUCAACCCUGCAACACCGGAUAAAACAUCUAAUGUAGCUGGAAUAGACUCUGAAAGGACGUUAGGCAUUAUCUAAAUCAAGUCCCUCAUUUUACAGAUGAGUAAACUGACUCAGUGAAGUAUUUUGCUCAAGGUCGUUCAUCAAAUUAGUAGUUUAAUUAACUCAGUGUUCUAGGAAGCAGGGUAGUAGAAAAGCAUGGGAUUCGGAGUCUGAAAUCUUCCUUGGUUUCUGGUCCUUGUAGGCUGUUUUACAAGUGUAUCUUGGGCAAAUCCCUUAACGUCUUGCCAUUUAUUAAGGGCUUACUUACCACGUGGCAAACAAUCCACUUUGCAUGCUGUGUCAAUUACAUGCAGUAUGUCGUGUAGUUAUUACUGUCCCCAUUUUAUGAGGUAGUUUAGGUUUAAAGAUAUUAGAAAUUUACCCAAAGUUACGCAGUUAUAAACAUUGUAGUAAUUUCAAACUCAGGUCUUCGUGACUGCAAAGGCUGCUGUCUUAAGUAUUGUAAUACAUUAGAGCUCCGGAUUCCCUCCCACUCAAAACAGAGACUGAGACUCCAACCAAUUUCCACCAUUAUUGGGAGUCAAACGAGAGAGACUGUGGCAAUGUAUUCUAAGCUGUACAAAGGUAUAAACAUAUUCACUAGAUUUGUAGAAUGAAGUUAUUCCUUCCCUAUACUUUCCACUACAACAAUUCAGCCAAAAAGAUGGCUUUCAUACUAAGCAUAAGAAGGAACUUCACUGUAAUUAUGAUAUUCUAACCAAGAAUAUAUGCAUAUCUAGGCAAUAACCAAAGUGAAUAGAAUAAAAUUUAAUUCCUGAUAGAUUAAAUAGGCAAUAGCAAGGAAUGCUAACGCUCCUCAUAGCGUUCUUGUUGGAAGAAUCAUCUAGGAGGCAUUGGGAUUUCUGGUGCUUUUUAAGCAAUGAGAGAUAUCAGUCCACUGAAUGAGGAAGAGAAUAACGUUUAGUUUCGGACUAAAAGUUCAUCUGGACUACGGAAAACACGUUUGCCUCAAUCAGUGAAGAAGGUAUGCUGAGAGCUGAAAGAAAAGGAAAGCAGCAACAGUGAGAGCUCAGAAAUUCCCAGACUGUUUUGAUGAUAAGGUCCAAGAACUUGCCAUGUGAUCCAUCACUACUAGACUCCCACAACUGCAUUAGAUUUGUUCAGGAUUUUCAUAUAAUUUUCAUAACUGGCUAAGCAUUGGAAAUGGAUGGGGAGAAGGCCUGAUGAAAAUUACUGAGGAAGCCUCUUAGCCUAUGUGCUCUGAGAGUAGUGACACCUAGCAGUCGUUCAAAAGAUGAUCAAGAGGAGCAUGAAAAAAUCCCCUGAAUCCAUUGGCUUUCUUCCCUAUACUGACAACAGUUUACUUGUGUAAGAGAUGCAUGCCUCGACUCCGGACCCCUUCUUUCAUCUGCAAAAUCAGCAGCACCCUCACAUCAUCUCCUGUAACAAACUCUCUCUGUCUCCUCCAUAUAAGGUCACUGAUGGUUACAUUUAGGGUCCAUGAUAUAAGGCCCUCUCCAGGGUGCCUGAGUUUGUUGUUUCAUCACAGAAUUACACGGAAGAGACUGGAAAGAUAACUCUUCAAAUGUCAAAUCAUUCCCCUAUAAAAAAUUUUGCCACAGCUGUUGAAAUAUGGCCUUAGGGUUUAUGACAGAAUUUGAACCAGCCCCAUGGAAAAUGCAUCUUGACUCUGCUUUUAUUCCUUUCCCUGCUGAGCUCCUAAUAGAAGAUGGAUGUCUAUUGCUUUUCUCUUGAUAUUCAUGGCACUGCUCCUCUCCAUCCAUAGGAUUAUCUUAUAGAUGAGGGUCUCAUCCUUUUGCCCAGGCUGGAGUACAG
RNAcentral lists this long non-coding RNA (2364 nucleotides) under Homo sapiens (human). RNAcentral's name for it is "HSALNT0375887". Lineage: Eukaryota; Metazoa; Chordata; Mammalia; Primates; Hominidae. The record is from RNAcentral.